This 231-nucleotide long non-coding RNA is filed under the name Mytilus galloprovincialis (Mediterranean mussel). The record is from RNAcentral. Lineage: Eukaryota; Metazoa; Mollusca; Bivalvia; Mytilida; Mytilidae.
CAAGUGUUGUUACUUUGUCGCCAUUGCAACAUCCAAGAUGGCCGCCAGUGGGGGAACUUAGUUUAACAUAGGACCCUAUGGGAAAUGCAUACAAAAGCCUUCUUCUAAAGAACCACUGAAUUGAAUGAAAUCAAACAUAGCAUGAAUGUUCCUUUCCUUAUGAGGUGCUGGCCAAGUGUUGUUACUUUUAGCCAAAUUUUAUAAUUUUUUAUAUGAUUUCAAAAACCCAAG